GUCACAGUGAGAGAGCCGUGAUGGAGGACGGGGUCACCCUGCUUGCCCAACGCAGGGAGCUCCGUCAUACAGAAUCCCAGUGAGUUCUGGAGGUCACGCUCUGUUUUAUAAAUGAAAAGCUGGGGCAGGGGCCUUGCCACACGGACACUCCUCGGGCCUCGCAAGCUCCUGUGGGUGACCAGGCUGCUCCCCACCCCCGCCGUGGGCUGUUGCUACCCUGCACAUCCCUCGGGUGGGCAGUGGUGCUUGAAACGCCAGCUCGCACCCUUCCUGCCCAGUGGCUUGAUGGCUUCAUUGUGCUAACCACCCAGGCAAGCUUGCAUGAGGAAAAGAGGAGCAUCUCCCCUUAGAUUCUUCCCGCCCGGAGCCGGGGACAGCAGGUUGUUUAUCACGGAAGGGCUGGGAAGAGCUUUAUCAGAAAGGCCUUGGGGACUCUUUCUGUGUGGCAUGGAACAGAGAGUGCCUGCCCACCCCAGGCAGCCAGAUGCAGCCCCUGCCUGCUUCCCCCUCCCUGGCUGUGUGCGUUCCAGAAAACCACCUGACCUCCAGAUUCUCUCUUGUCCGGUGGAGAUUCUCCUGCCCAAAGGCAGGCGCUCUCCAAGGUCCCUCUCCCCAGAAGAGCCACGAUCCCGGGAAGCCGGCUAGUGCAGAGAAAAGAAUCGCACCUCGUUGUCAGAACAACCCCAGCUCUGCCACCUACACCUUGUGUGACCUUGGGCAAGUCACAGAAACUUCUCGGAUGCACAAUCUCGUCACGCUCCUAGUUUCCAGGCCCACACACCUGAGGGUCAAUGUCCCUUAUUGCACCCCCACCCCAUACCGACUCCAUCAGCAAGUCCUGUUUGUUCUUGCCCCAAGUAUCUCUCCUGUCUGCCCAUUCCCUGCGUCUCCCCUGUCACCACCCCAGGCCAGUCCCCGUUACCCGCACCUGGAGGUCUGCACCAGCUCCACCUGCACUCCGGCGUCCACUCUCGCCCCCAUUGCUGUGAUCUCCACACAACCACCAGCGGCCUUGAGAGCACAGCGAGGCCGCGAGGCUGUGCAGAGCCCCUCAGUGAGCCGGACCGCGCUCACAGUUCAGUGGGCCGUCUGCUAGAGGCUUUCCGCGGUUCAUUCCUUCUCCCAACACAACCCUGAAGAACGGGCUGGAACUGUUCUUGCCAAGACUGGGCUGAGAUGCACCAGUAAAUCUGAUGUGUCCACCCUCAUCUCUACAGGAUCAGCACCAGCUCCGGGGCCCAGGACUGCUUGGCUCAUUGAAGAAUCCCGCCAUGCAGGUACAAUGAUGUACGAAAGAGGAAGCAAAGCACUGAACACAGAACCUGGCAAGCGGUAAUCAUCUGGCGCGUCUGGGUGGUGUCUCCGCUGCUAACGCCUCAGUGCAGGUUUCCAUCAUCUGUUGCCUGUUGACCACGAAACUCCCAACUCAUCCCUUUCACUCCAGCCUUCCUCAAACCCCAGUGUCUUCCACCCAAUAGGACCAGAGUGAUCCUCUGAACAUAAAACUGAUUGAUAACAGAUCAUCCAAAUGGACUAAUAAUUGACCAAUUAAUAAUUGACAAUCAAAAAAUUCUCUCCUCCAAAAAAAAAAAGACAAGAAAACUGGCAAAAAUUGUCAAAAUCAACUCUUCUAGAACUCUGAAAGUUAACUACCAAAGGCUUGGAAUAAUCUGGGAAGCUUUUAUUUAAGUAAAAUGGCCGAGUCUUGGUAUGAACA
Long non-coding RNA from Symphalangus syndactylus (siamang), 1717 nucleotides. RefSeq lists it as uncharacterized. Lineage: Eukaryota; Metazoa; Chordata; Mammalia; Primates; Hylobatidae. The record is from RefSeq and is a predicted model, not a curated record.